Long non-coding RNA from Sarcophilus harrisii (Tasmanian devil), 2637 nucleotides. RefSeq lists it as uncharacterized. The record is from RefSeq and is a predicted model, not a curated record. The transcript is spliced from 3 exons. NCBI's taxonomy places the organism in Eukaryota, Metazoa, Chordata, Mammalia, Dasyuromorphia, Dasyuridae.
GUUCAUUCUGGCAUUCUCUCCUGUGGGUUCCUGCUAUAACAUUUACUGUUUGGACCCUCAUCCACUGCUUCAAUUUUUUUUCUCCUUUCAUUUGUUAAUAUCAUGGAUAUGAGAUGAGAAAAACUACUGAGGGUAGUUCACCUGAGCUUUCUAGGCUUUGAAAAGAACUAUCAUGUGGUUUGAACAUCUCCCAGAAGACAAGCACACUCUGGGGGGUAGCUAGACAUGUAAACCUCUUCUGUGUACCUACUUAAUCUGAAUAACUGAAGGUAAUAGCAGGGAUAAAAGAGUAGCUCUUCAUUUCUUCAAUAUCAUGCACUAAUCAUCUACCUCCAAAAAGCCAUGUGAGUAAUCUUCCUCUUUCUGUAAAAAGCAGGCACACUACUCACAAAUUGCUUUUCUCUAUCCAGAAUGUUCAAUCUCUAAAUUCUGUCGCAAUCCUAAAGCUUGGUAAUGCCCAAGAAACCUCCUUUUGCUAUUUAGGAUGCUAAAUUAUGAGAUUAUGCUCUGUCAAAAUAAUCACAGUCCUUUUCUUGUACACAGGUGUUUGAAGGUCAGGAAUAUUAUCUACAAAAUUCCUUCAUCCAAAUGAUGAGCAUAUACAACUGCCAUGUGCUUUUCCAAUAUAAUCUACCAUUGUCUUAACUGUAGACAUCUAGAGUAGAGAAAGUCAACACUCACAGGUCUCUGUGAUACCUAUGCCAUUCUCUACACUGAGAAAGCUGUAGGUGAACACAUGCAGUUUACAUAUGUUGUAGUCUGCCUCUACACAGCAACAUUUCCCAAUCUUUAUCCCAGACAUGUCUCUCAAGAUCUCAAAGAUCUCUCAUGAUUUCUCCAGGAAAAAAAAAACACAGCGAGAAGACAAGGGGGCUAAUUAGAGUUGCCAGUUCUCUUUUAUAAACAAGUAACAGCUCAAAGGGAUAGUUCCUAUCAGAAAGUCCAUUCUCUCAAGAAUACAAACCAGUCAAAUGAUCUCAAGAUUACAACCCAAUCACUGAAACACAUCUCCUAAAGAGCAAGAGAAAGACAGGACAGACCCAAACCAUCUUGUGGAAGCCCUAGUCACUGAGUUUUAUUCAGUUUUUGUCAUUUUAAGGUGUUAGUAAACAUAUCUGUACCCCAUAGGCAGGGAUACUUUCAAAAAGUCCAGGCUCACCACUAUAUAAGCUUGUCAAUUUAAUUAAAGAAUUCACCCAAUCCACCCCUUACCCACAAAUAAUUGGAAAAUGUCAGGAACUCUAGAUAUCUUUUGGAGCACACAGUCCAAACUGGCCAAAUUCAACUAUCUUUUUUUUCUUUUCCUCUGGUAUGAAGAUGUGAUAGUUCCCACUGCAUAAAUCCAAUACUCAAAACCAUUGGCUACCUAGAAAUUAAUAUGAGCAUCCCAACUUGUAGUAUGGUGCACUUAUGGACCAUAAUGCUCUUGUUCAAAACCUAAUAAUGCAUGCCCAUCUGGAAUUCUCCAGUUUCUUUUCAAACCACCAUCAAAAAGUCACCCAGAUUAAAAGACUCCAUCACAACACUAUUGAUCAACUGAUCUUUUGAUGAUGGUUCCUUGGACCAUGGACCUUCCAUCUCAGAAAGGGUAAUAGUAUCUUUCCUGUGACUGCUUUCAAAAGAGUUAGGGAUUAUUGUGAUGGAGUUUUUUCCUUUUCUUUUGAAUCUAACCUAUAUCCAAUUUAUUCUUUUAAAGAAUACAAUAGUUCUGAUGUUAAGUUAUUGCCCCCAAUGAUCCUCCCUUUCCUUAAGAUAUUGAAGAGUCUUAGACAAAGACAAACUUCCCUGGAUGCAACCUUGAUCAAAUUAACCAAAGGUUUAUAUAUUUUGUUGGCUUUGUCAUUAAACCAGAUCCUAGUUUUAUUAGUUCAAUAGUUUUCUUUCAGUUUUUUUAUCUAUCUCUUCUUUGAUUUUUAAAAUUUCUAAUUUGAUGUUUAAUUGGGGACUUUUAAUUUGUUCUUUUUCUAAUUUUAGUUGUAUACCCAAUUCAUUGAUCUCCCCUAUCUCUAUUUUAUUCAUGUAAACAUCUAGAAAUACAAAAUUUCCCCUAAGAACUGCUUUAGCUAUAUCCCAUAAGUUUUGGUAUUUUGUCUCAUUGUUAUUCUCUCGGAUUAAAUGAUUCAAUGAUUUGUUGUUUGAUCUAUCCGUUCUAUAGGAUUAAAUUUUUUAGUCUCCAAUUAAUUUUUGUCCUAUUUUUCCAUGGCCCUUUAUUACACAUAAUUUUUAUUGUAUUAUGAUAUGAAAUGUGCAUAUCUAAUAUAUCUACAUUUCUGCAUUUGAUUGUAAGGUUGUAUGCCCUAAUAUAUAGUCAAUUUUUGUGCAAAUAUAAAUUUUGUGCAAUAUACCACUACAAAAAAGUAUAUAUUCCUUUCUAUCCCCAUUCAAUCUUGAAUUAGCCCUUGGUGGCUUUUUUGAUACUUACUUCCACCCAUGGCCUCUUCUCUAAGCCAUACGUUCUGACUUCUUUCUGACACUAAUGAAUUUUAAGCACACACUCAUAUAAUCCAGAUAUGAAUGGUGGCUUUAGUUUCUGAACAAGCUGUAAAGGUACAUAUUAGAAUUAUCUUUCAUGGGACCCAUAUGUGCAUGAAUGUUUGUGGCAGCUCUCUUUGUAGUGGCCAGAAACUGGAAAGUGAG